AGCCUUCUGUAUCCGUGCUGAGAUUUCGUCACACGCCAGGCCACAAAGACUGAUGAGACUUCAAAGAUUAGUGAAGCG
Schistosoma curassoni is the source of this 78-nucleotide non-coding RNA. The record is from Rfam. Lineage: Eukaryota; Metazoa; Platyhelminthes; Trematoda; Strigeidida; Schistosomatidae.